AUGACUUCAUGCAAGUAUCUCGGGUGGCAAGACAAAUGGUAGAGAGGUUUGGAUUCAGUAAAAAGAUUGGACAAAUUGCGAUUGGUGGACCGGGCGGAAAUCCGUUCUUAGGUCAACAGAUGUCAUCCCAGAAAGAUUACUCUAUGGCAACUGCAGAUAUUGUGGAUGCAGAGGUUAGGGAGUUGGUAGAGAAAGCAUAUUCAAGGGCUAAGCAGAUUAUCACAACCCACAUCGACAUUCUUCACAAGCUUGCACAACUCCUUAUCGAGAAGGAAACCGUGGACGGGGAAGAGUUCAUGAGCCUCUUCAUCGAUGGAAAAGCUGAGUUAUAUGUUGCAUAGAAACAUAUCGACACGGAAUUGUAUUAUAAAUGUUAAAUAUACAGAUGAA
RNAcentral lists this unclassified non-coding RNA (390 nucleotides) under Hevea brasiliensis (rubber tree). The record is from RNAcentral. Lineage: Eukaryota; Viridiplantae; Streptophyta; Magnoliopsida; Malpighiales; Euphorbiaceae.